AAUUUUGGACAACGGGCGCAAGCCUGAUCCAGCCAUGCCGCGUGAUUGAAGAAGGCCUUCGGGGUGUAAAGCCCUUUCGGACGGAAAGAAAUCGCGCAGCCUAAUACCCUUCGCGGAUGUCGGUACCGUCAUAAGAAGCACCGGCUAACUACUCGCCGGCAGCCGCGGUAAUACGUAGGGUGCGGGCGUUAAUCUGAAUUACUGGGAGUAAAGAGUGCGCAGGCGGUUGAUUAAGACAGUCGUGAAAACCCCGGGCUUAACAUGGGAGCUGCGCUUGUGGCUGGUCAGCUAGAGUACGGCAGAGGGGGGUGGAAUUACACGUGUAGCAGUGAAAAGAGUAGAGAUGUGGAGGAGCACCGAUGGCGAAGGAAGCGCCCUGGGCCGAUACUGACGCUCAUGCACGAAAGAGUGGGUAGCAAACAGG
Molecule: ribosomal RNA, 424 nt
Filed under: uncultured bacterium
Lineage: Bacteria
Description: partial 16S ribosomal RNA
Rfam family: Bacterial small subunit ribosomal RNA
Source: RNAcentral